UUUUUCGCAAGCAUUGUAACUGCGCUGAAAAAGUGUCUAAUUUAAUGAGCAAAGACUCCAAAGAAAACUUUGCGAAGAUACCAAGAUAGGACCUCAAAUGUGCAUAAAAUAAAUGCAUACCUUUUCUUUGGGGUAUGAAGUUACGAGAACGAGCUCUAUUAUUACACCAAAAGCAACGGACCUCGAAUCCCUAUUAUGUGGUGACGCUUUAUAACUGUGGGCUGAUCUCACGGACUCGUCCCGGUGACGGAUCUUUGAAGUGUCUGCCUUGUCAACUGUCGAUGGUAGGUUAUGAGCCUUCCAUGGUCGUAAAGGGUGGCGGGGAAUCAGUGUUCGAUUCCGGAAAGAGAGCUUGAGAAACGGCUACCACAUCCAAGGAAGACAGCAGGCGCGGAAAUUACCUAAUUCCAGAACGGGGAGGUAGUGACGGAAAAUAACAAUAACAGACUCUUUUGACACCCCGUUACUGGAAUGAGUACACUCUAAAUCCUUUAGCGAGUAUCAGUUGGAGGGCAAGUCUGAUGCCAGCAACCAUGAUAAUUCCAAU
Molecule: non-coding RNA, 547 nt
Filed under: Stegodyphus mimosarum
Lineage: Eukaryota; Metazoa; Arthropoda; Arachnida; Araneae; Eresidae
Description: eukaryotic small subunit ribosomal RNA
Rfam family: Eukaryotic small subunit ribosomal RNA
Source: Rfam by way of RNAcentral